This 595-nucleotide ribosomal RNA is filed under the name uncultured Bacteroidota bacterium. RNAcentral describes it as "bacterial SSU rRNA". It matches the Rfam family "Bacterial small subunit ribosomal RNA", at positions 122 to 715 of the family's 1533-position model. The record is from RNAcentral. Lineage: Bacteria; Pseudomonadati; Bacteroidota.
CAACCUGCCCACCACUUGGGGAUAACCUUGCGAAAGUAAGACUAAUACCCAAUGAUAUCUCUAGAAGGCAUCUGAAAGAGAUUAAAGAUUUAUCGGUGAUGGAUGGGGAUGCGUCUGAUUAGCUUGUUGGCGGGGUAACGGCCCACCAAGGCAACGAUCAGUAGGGGUUCUGGGAGGAAGGUCCCCCACAUUGGAACUGAGACACGGUCCAAACUCCUACGGGAGGCAGCAGUGAGGAAUAUUGGUCAAUGGACGAGAGUCUGAACCAGCCAAGUAGCGUGCAGGAUGACGGCCCUAUGGGUUGUAAACUGCUUUUAUAAGGGAAUAAAGUGAGUCUCGUGAGACUUUUUGCAUGUACCUUAUGAAUAAGGACCGGCUAAUUCCGUGCCAGCAGCCGCGGUAAUACGGAAGGUCCGGGCGUUAUCCGGAUUUAUUGGGUUUAAAGGGAGCGUAGGCCGGAGAUUAAGCGUGUUGUGAAAUGUAGACGCUCAACGUCUGCACUGCAGCGCGAACUGGUUUCCUUGAGUACGCACAAAGUGGGCGGAAUUCGUGGUGUAGCGGUGAAAUGCUUAGAUAUCACGAAGAACUCCGAUUG